UGGAGUCCGUCUGAAUCUGCCGUGACUUUCGGAGCUGCCCGAUUUGCAAGAGAUGGUGUCAGAAGCGGAGUCCAGAGUAGAGCUUCUAGGAACCUUCGGGAGUGCUGAGUGAACACGCAAGGUGCCUGCGGAACCCACUUGUGUCCAUUGACCUCUCCGAGUGGCCGGGGAUCGUGGGUUUUCCCUGGGGCUUGUGAUCACUGUCUCCUUGGUGACAUGCAAUCUGGGAGUGCUUUCUGGAGUCUGAUAAGAACAUACUGGCACAUUGCCUGUGACGUGUGGGACCCAGGCAUUUUCAGUGCUGAG
This 306-nucleotide long non-coding RNA is filed under the name Homo sapiens (human). Its description in RNAcentral is "novel transcript". The record is from RNAcentral. Lineage: Eukaryota; Metazoa; Chordata; Mammalia; Primates; Hominidae.